Mycena polygramma is the source of this 115-nucleotide non-coding RNA. The record is from the annotation of a GenBank genome assembly. Lineage: Eukaryota; Fungi; Basidiomycota; Agaricomycetes; Agaricales; Mycenaceae.
GGCACUAUGGCCGAGUGGUUAAGGCGACAGAUUUGAAUGGGUUAACACCAGCCAGGUUUGAACCUUCCCUAUCUGUUGGUAUUCUACCGCGCAGGUUCGAACCCUGCUGGUGUCG